This 292-nucleotide ribosomal RNA is filed under the name uncultured bacterium. RNAcentral's name for it is "partial 16S ribosomal RNA". The record is from RNAcentral.
GGACUACCGGGGUAUCUAAUCCUGUUUGCUCCCCACGCUUUCGUGUCUCAGCGUCAGUACUCGUCCAGUUGGCCGCCUUCGCCACCGGUGUUCCUCUCGAUAUCUACGAAUUUCACCUCUACACCGAGAAUUCCGCCAACCUCUCCGGUACUCGAGCCAUGCAGUAUCGGGUGCACUUCCCGGGUUGAGCCCGGGGCUUUCACAUCCGACUUUCACGGCAGCCUACACACGCUUUACGCCCAGUAAUUCCGAACAACGUUUGCACCCUCUGUCUUACCGCGGCGGCUGGCAC